GAUAAGCCUGGGAAACUGGGUCUAAUACCGGAUAUGACCAAUCCUUGCAUGAGGGUUGGUGGAAAGUUUUUCGAUCGGGGAUGGGCUCGCGGCCUAUCAGCUUGUUGGUGGGGUAAUGGCCUACCAAGGCGACGACGGGUAGCCGGCCUGAGAGGGCGACCGGCCACACUGGGACUGAGACACGGCCCAGACUCCUACGGGAGGCAGCAGUGGGGAAUAUUGCACAAUGGGGGAAACCCUGAUGCAGCGACGCAGCGUGCGGGAUGACGGCCUUCGGGUUGUAAACCGCUUUCAGCAGGGAAGAAGCGAAAGUGACGGUACCUGCAGAAGAAGUACCGGCUAACUACGUGCCAGCAGCCGCGGUAAUACGUAGGGUACGAGCGUUGUCCGGAAUUAUUGGGCGUAAAGAGCUCGUAGGUGGUUGGUCACGUCUGCUGUGGAAACGCAACGCUUAACGUUGCGCGUGCAGUGGGUACGGGCUGACUAGAGUGCAGUAGGGGAGUCUGGAUUCCUGGUGUAGCGGUGAAAU
Molecule: ribosomal RNA, 529 nt
Filed under: uncultured Brevibacterium sp.
Lineage: Bacteria; Bacillati; Actinomycetota; Actinomycetes; Micrococcales; Brevibacteriaceae
Description: bacterial SSU rRNA
Rfam family: Bacterial small subunit ribosomal RNA
Source: RNAcentral